RNAcentral lists this long non-coding RNA (839 nucleotides) under Oncorhynchus mykiss (rainbow trout). RNAcentral describes it as "lncRNA (ENSOMYG00000049272.1)". The record is from RNAcentral. Lineage: Eukaryota; Metazoa; Chordata; Actinopteri; Salmoniformes; Salmonidae.
GAUACUGACAGGUUUUCUGAUCCUACAUUUUUCUUAAAAUAUCUGUGACUAACAGAUGUAUAUCUGUAUUCUCAGUCAUGUGAAAUUCAUAGAUUAGGACCUAAUCAAUUUACAUUUCAAUUGACUGAUUUCUUUAUAUGAACUGUAACUCAGUAAAAUCGAAGAAAUGGUUGCAUGUUGCGUUUAUAUUUUUGUUCAGUGUAGAUUUAUAGGUAAGUUAAGUAGCGUUAGCUACAAAUCAGAAGGUAAAUGGGCUAAACACCAAGGUAAUGCUUUGUCUGUUAUACAUUGCUACUGAUCAAUGCCAUCAUUUUCCUAAUUUGUGUCAGCCUGGUCUUUGUACGAACUUAAAGUCAAGAUCGCCAUCAUCUGCUACGAUGGAAACAGUACAGAUGUAUACAAAGCCAGAGACCUUGCACAGAAAUGGGUAAGCUAAUGGGGUCACAUUUCACUUACUGUUUGUUGCACAGUGUUUUAAAUGUUUCCGAGAUGACUCAGCACAUGCAGUGUUCUCAAUUUGAAUGUCUACAUUACCUUUAUGUCCUUGCAGCUCAGACACAUAUUACCAUCCAACAAAUAUCAUUUGUACAGAGUCUCUGUGUCUGUGUCAACCAGGUAAGGAAAGUCCAAAAUACAAAAUGAGUACAGGUGUAUCAUGGAUUUAUGCAUGUAAUAUUCUCAUCAAUAAUCUUUUCAUCUCAAUUGCAAUCACCAACACAAGCUAUUUCACACUUUUGACAGUGUCGGUGAGACAUAUGAGGACGAGGCCCAUGACAAACCAAUAUUGCGGGCUGAAUUUGAUGCAAACCGCUUUGACUGCCUGGUCCACCUCAACGUGA